Molecule: ribosomal RNA, 1147 nt
Filed under: Acinetobacter sp.
Lineage: Bacteria; Pseudomonadati; Pseudomonadota; Gammaproteobacteria; Moraxellales; Moraxellaceae
Description: bacterial SSU rRNA
Rfam family: Bacterial small subunit ribosomal RNA
Source: RNAcentral
CGUGCAUGGCUGGGCGCAGCCUGAUCAGCCAUGCCGCGUGUGUGAAGAAGGCCUUAUGGUUGUAAAGCACUUUAAGCGAGGAGGAGGCUACUUUAGUUAAUACCUAGAGAUAGUGGACGUUACUCGCAGAAUAAGCACCGGCUAACUCUGUGCCAGCAGCCGCGGUAAUACAGAGGGUGCAAGCGUUAAUCGGAUUUACUGGGCGUAAAGCGCGCGUAGGCGGCUAAUUAAGUCAAAUGUGAAAUCCCCGAGCUUAACUUGGGAAUUGCAUUCGAUACUGGUUAGCUAGAGUGUGGGAGAGGAUGGUAGAAUUCCAGGUGUAGCGGUGAAAUGCGUAGAGAUCUGGAGGAAUACCGAUGGCGAAGGCAGCCAUCUGGCCUAACACUGACGCUGAGGUGCGAAAGCAUGGGGAGCAAACAGGAUUAGAUACCCUGGUAGUCCAUGCCGUAAACGAUGUCUACUAGCCGUUGGGGCCUUUGAGGCUUUAGUGGCGCAGCUAACGCGAUAAGUAGACCGCCUGGGGAGUACGGUCGCAAGACUAAAACUCAAAUGAAUUGACGGGGGCCCGCACAAGCGGUGGAGCAUGUGGUUUAAUUCGAUGCAACGCGAAGAACCUUACCUGGCCUUGACAUAGUAAGAACUUUCCAGAGAUGGAUUGGUGCCUUCGGGAACUUACAUACAGGUGCUGCAUGGCUGUCGUCAGCUCGUGUCGUGAGAUGUUGGGUUAAGUCCCGCAACGAGCGCAACCCUUUUCCUUAUUUGCCAGCGAGUAAUGUCGGGAACUUUAAGGAUACUGCCAGUGACAAACUGGAGGAAGGCGGGGACGACGUCAAGUCAUCAUGGCCCUUACGGCCAGGGCUACACACGUGCUACAAUGGUCGGUACAAAGGGUUGCUACCUAGCGAUAGGAUGCUAAUCUCAAAAAGCCGAUCGUAGUCCGGAUUGGAGUCUGCAACUCGACUCCAUGAAGUCGGAAUCGCUAGUAAUCGCGGAUCAGAAUGCCGCGGUGAAUACGUUUCCCGGGCCUUGUACACACCGCCCGUCACACCAUGGGAGUUUGUUGCACCAGAGUAGCUAGCUACUGCAAGAGGGCGGUUACCACGGUGUGGCCGAUGACUGGGGGUGAGUUACAACGGGGUGGUCCCUC